Molecule: ribosomal RNA, 427 nt
Filed under: uncultured Brevinema sp.
Lineage: Bacteria; Pseudomonadati; Spirochaetota; Spirochaetia; Brevinematales; Brevinemataceae
Description: partial 16S ribosomal RNA
Rfam family: Bacterial small subunit ribosomal RNA
Source: RNAcentral
CCAAGAAUAUUCCGCAAUGGGGGAAACCCUGACGGAGCGACGCCGCGUGGAGGAUGAAGGCAUUCGUGUUGUAAACUCCUUUUUUAAGGGAAGAAUAAGCUGGGGAGGAAAUGCCCCGGCGAUGACGGUACCUUAAGAAUAAGCCCCGGCUAAUUACGUGCCAGCAGCCGCGGUAAUACGUAAGGGGCGAGCGUUGCUCGGAAUUACUGGGCGUAAAGGGCAUGUAGGCCGCCGAUUAAGCGGAGUGUGAAAGACCACGGCUCAACUGUGGAAACGCGCUCCGAACUGGUCGGCUUGAAUCUAGGAGAAGGUAGUGGAAUUUCCCGUGUAGCGGUGGAAUGCAUAGAUAUGGGAAGGAACACCUAAGGCGAAGGCAGCUACCUAUGCUAAGAUUGACGCUGAGGUGCGAAAGUGUGGGGAUCAAAUA